This is an RNA transcript of Tripterygium wilfordii, 672 nucleotides long. RefSeq lists it as uncharacterized. The transcript is spliced from 4 exons. The record is from RefSeq and is a predicted model, not a curated record. Lineage: Eukaryota; Viridiplantae; Streptophyta; Magnoliopsida; Celastrales; Celastraceae.
AAGGAGAGACUAACCGAGAACAGAGCACCGGGAAGUAAAGCCGGUCAGCGGAAAUCAUGGAAGGUGAGAAACCCACAACAGUAAUGUGCUCACUGAUAGCGAUGGACCAUUCCGACCUCUUUUACAGAAUCUGCUCCAUCUGCGAGAAAACUCUCCCCUGCGAUCCCUCCUCUCUUUGCAAAUCCUGUGACUGCCCUCCCAAACGCCUGUUUCGUCUCCUCGUAUCAAUAGCAACAGAUACCAAAGUGCUUAAUGUGAUCUGCUUUGACAGGGCAGCUAGGGUUCUGUUUGGCUGCUCUGCCGACGAUUUCUUUGAUUUCGCCAAGCUUCAUCCUUUUGCUGCUGCAACUGCUGGUAAAAUCCUGGAGGGAGAGAUGUUUGGCAUUACACUGUCCAAACCGAAAAAUGGCAACGCUCGACAUCUUCGAGUGGCAUCAAUUGUCCCUUUGAGGUCUGAUUUCCAGCCUGCUAUUAAGUCCUUGAGAGAAUUAUAUGGAGGGUAAGAGUUAGUUUUUGAUUGCUCUGUUUGGAAGCUCAGAAAGUAUUAUGCAAUUGUUAUUUACAUAUUCCCUGUAUAAUCAGCAAAUUGAUUUUGAAGCAUCCCUCAAUGUUUUCUCUGAGGUUUUCAAUAUGACAAAACUGAAUAUAAAAUUGUUGUUAGGAAAGGAAUCA